CUCAAAUAGCUUAUUGGGUGUGUUCUUGUUUACCUCAGUUUUAGAGAUUUUAUAUUAAUAAGUCAAGUUACGAGCUCAAGAAUCGUCAGCAAAGUCUAUCACACUAUCGACUAAUCUCGGUAUUUUAUAAGCUGAAAUUUUUCGUUGAAAACUAUGGCAUGUAUAGGCUAGCUUUGGAGUUAGUUUAAUUCGAAAGUGUUUGUAUAAAAGCCAUCCGAAAAUGGCAUAAUUUUCC
This 235-nucleotide long non-coding RNA is filed under the name Gossypium barbadense (sea-island cotton). RNAcentral's name for it is "long non-coding RNA (GBAR_LNC015765)". Lineage: Eukaryota; Viridiplantae; Streptophyta; Magnoliopsida; Malvales; Malvaceae. The record is from RNAcentral.